RNAcentral lists this ribosomal RNA (866 nucleotides) under Colletotrichum sp. ETHCTR157. RNAcentral's name for it is "eukaryotic LSU rRNA". It matches the Rfam family "Eukaryotic large subunit ribosomal RNA", at positions 37 to 934 of the family's 3401-position model. Lineage: Eukaryota; Fungi; Ascomycota; Sordariomycetes; Glomerellales; Glomerellaceae. The record is from RNAcentral.
AGCAUAUCAAUAAGCGGAGGAAAAGAAACCAACAGGGAUUGCCUCAGUAACGGCGAGUGAAGCGGCAACAGCUCAAAUUUGAAAUCUGGCCCUAGGCCCGAGUUGUAAUUUGCAGAGGAUGCUUUUGGUGCGGUGCCUUCCAAGUUCCCUAGAACGGGACGCCAGAGAGGGUGAGAGCCCCGUACAGUUGGACACCAAGCCUUUGUAAAGCUCCUUCGACGAGUCGAGUAGUUUGGGAAUGCUGCUCAAAAUGGGAGGUAUAUUUCUUCUAAAGCUAAAUACCGGCCAGAGACCGAUAGCGCACAAGUAGAGUGAUCGAAAGAUGAAAAGCACUUUGAAAAGAGGGUUAAACAGCACGUGAAAUUGUUAAAAGGGAAGCGCUUGUGACCAGACUUGCGUCCGGUGAAUCACCCAGCUCUCGCGGCUGGGGCACUUCGCCGGCUCAGGCCAGCAUCAGCUCGCUGUCGGGGACAAAAGCUUCAGGAACGUAGCUCUCUUCGGGGAGUGUUAUAGCCUGUUGCAUAAUACCCUUCGGCGGGCUGAGGUACGCGCUCCGCAAGGAUGCUGGCAUAAUGGUCAUCAGCGACCCGUCUUGAAACACGGACCAAGGAGUCAACCUUAUGUGCGAGUGUUCGGGUGUCAAACCCCUACGCGUAAUGAAAGUGAACGCAGGUGAGAGCUUCGGCGCAUCAUCGACCGAUCCUGAUGUUCUCGGAUGGAUUUGAGUAAGAGCAUAUAGGGUUGGACCCGAAAGAAGGUGAACUAUGCGUGUAUAGGGUGAAGCCAGAGGAAACUCUGGUGGAGGCUCGCAGCGGUUCUGACGUGCAAAUCGAUCGUCAAAUAUGCGCAUGGGGGCGAAAGACUAA